GAAUUACACUUGACAGAGGCAGAGGAAAAUGCCUGCAGUCUGCAGCAUAGGAGGAAAAAAAGCGUUUCUUGUCUUCUAUUGUGCAGUGCCCAUGAAGUAUAGCAUCAAGAAACUAAUGCAAAACUGCAGAGAUCUUUCCGUGAGAUAAUUGAAUAUAAAAUCAUGAUUGCUUUUUACAAAUUUGGAUUCAUCCCAAAUCCAUUGUUCUUCAAAGGCAGGAAAAGUGAUCAGAGAAAAGGUGGACGGUAACAACACUUCACCUUGAGCUGUUAGAAUACCAGCAUUUAGCAUAACUGAUAUUUGUUGCAAUUAAGCCAUGCUACGUUGAGUGCAAAUGGGCAACUACAAUGAGGACCACUGGACUUCUGAAGUUCAAGUUCUAUUCUGUCUGAAGACAAUUUCCCUGCCAGAGGUCAAACUUUAGCACACACAUGCCAACACAGAAGUCAUAGUCCUGCAUUAUACAGUUAAGCUAAUGAUCUCGAGAGGAUAUCGUCCUGGAUAAGGGUGGAGCCUACGCCCAAAAACAAGAUUACCUGAAAGAGAAAAGAAAGGGGGAAAACACACAGAGAUACAGUCGGGGAGGCCACAUGAAGAUGGAGGCAGAGACAGGAGUGAUGAGCCUGCAAGCCAAGGAAUGCCAAGGGCUGCCAGCAGCCAUGAGAAGCUGAGAGACACAGAGAACGAGUCCUCUGCCAGAGCCUCCAGAAGGAACUAACCCUGUCAAUACCUUGAUUUCGGACUUCUGGACUCCAGAACUAUAACCCUCCUUCCUCCACCUCACAAAAACUCACAAGCUGCAACCCUUCUGAUGUCCACUCCCACACAAACCAGCUUCAGGCCUUUUUCAAGUGGAUGCUGUGGGGCACCACCUCCUUGAGGACCAAGGCACUCCAGCUGCCAGGAAUUUGGCUGCUAACCUCACACAGCUGAGCCUUCCAUGAAAAUUGCUCUCUGCCAAAGAGAACUUCCUAGUCCAAGGUCAUGUCUACUCUCCAGAGAAAUGCACUGACCCUGCACUCUACAGGACACUAUGCUCAUUCCGAAUGCUAAGAUGUGACUGGAGUGAUUUGCACCCGGAUGCCUAGACUCGCCAUCUGCUCAAAGACUGCUCAGAAAGCCCUCCCAUGCAUUCCCCUGCUGCAUACCAGCCCACUCUGCCUGCAGCUGCUGUCUGCAGGACUUCAUAUCUAUGCCACACUGUGUAAAAGCUGUGCUUCAAGAAAUCACAAAAACAUUUUCCUGCACCUACUACACAGCCUGAGUGCGGCAUAAGUUGACCUUGCUUGCUAAGAAAUGGGGCAAGAAAUGCUUUUUUGUGUGUGUCAUGUCUGUUUGUUUUUCAAUUAAGAGAGGAAAGCAUUAGGCAGAUGGAAUGUACAUGUGAGGAUGAGGAGACAGAAAACAAGUAGCCCUUUCCAUCAAGAUAGAGGGUUUUCUGGGGUUGCUGGCUAUUGAAUGUCACUCCUGAUUUCUCUUUCCAAGGCACUGUACCACCAGCCUACUGAGAUUGUGUGGGAGC
This 1522-nucleotide long non-coding RNA is filed under the name Homo sapiens (human). Its description in RNAcentral is "mir-100-let-7a-2-mir-125b-1 cluster host gene". Lineage: Eukaryota; Metazoa; Chordata; Mammalia; Primates; Hominidae. The record is from RNAcentral.